UACGGAGGGCGCGAGCGUUAAUCGGAAUUACUGGGCGUAAAGCGCGCGUAGGCUGUUGUGUAAGUUGGGGGUGAAAUCCCACGGCUCAACCGUGGAACAGCCCUUGAUACUGCGCGACUUGAAUCCGGGAGAGGGUGGCGGAAUUCCAGGUGUAGGAGUGAAAUCCGUAGAUAUCUGGAGGAACAUCAGUGGCGAAGGCGGCCACCUGGACCAGUAUUGACGCUGAGGCGCGAAAGCGUGGGGAGCAAACAGG
RNAcentral lists this ribosomal RNA (253 nucleotides) under uncultured bacterium. RNAcentral's name for it is "partial 16S ribosomal RNA". It matches the Rfam family "Bacterial small subunit ribosomal RNA", at positions 524 to 776 of the family's 1533-position model. The record is from RNAcentral.